AGUUCUUAGCUUUCAGCAGACUCCGCACAUGGCCCCUUCAGUGAAAUAUUGUGAAGAUGGCGCUCACUGGGUGUAGCUAGGCCAGUGCUUGGGCAGAGAUUGCAAGUGUGUACUCCUUGCCUGUUGUCAACACAGGGUGCUUGGGUCACACCCUCUACAAGUCCAAUCAAAUUAGCUUGAGAGAGACUUGAACGAUAACUUUAAGCAAUUGCUUUUGAUAUACUGAAGUAGCUCAUUUAGGACCAAUCUCUCCAGGAGCAGGGACCACACUCUUAAAAGUGUUAAAAAGCCAAGACUUUCCUGACCUCUUGGAGACAGACUGGGAGGCUGCCAUGCAUAAGACCGCGCUCCCUGUACACCCUUGAAGGAGAGCGUGACGAUGCUCAGGGCACACGUGCAGCCACAGUAGACCGUACUGGGAAAAAGGACUCCAAACUCAGGUGCCUGGGGCAUGUUAGUGGAGUGUGCGUGUGGACAAGACGUGCUGAAGAACUCCAGCCACGAUUCAGGUGAACUCCCCAAUCUAGCUGCAUCUGAGGUUCGUGUCACUGACGGUGAAAGGGAAUUGAAAGUGUAUGUUUCAUUGCAUUUUUUAGUGUGUUUCCCCCACGAGCGACAUUAACACUUACUGUGGA
This is a non-coding RNA of Pelodiscus sinensis (Chinese soft-shelled turtle), 635 nucleotides long. NCBI's taxonomy places the organism in Eukaryota, Metazoa, Chordata, Testudines, Trionychidae. The record is from RefSeq and is a predicted model, not a curated record.